GAGUCAUGCAGGAGCCCUGCUCUGUGUUCACAGGUCCCUGGGUGGAUGCGACCUCCGUGGCUGCACAGGAAGGCGGUACCUCUGUCACUGCCAUCACUGCCUGCCCUCCCCAGACUGAGGACCCUGGGCACAGACACAGUCAUCGAGCACACAAGAGGAAGAUGCCACGAGAGACCCACAGAAUUGGGUCCCAGUGACUUCCGGUCGAUGAGACAAGAAAAUAUGAGGGAGUGUGGGUGGCUGGAGCGUGACUUAUUUGCUUUUUAGGCAACUGUCAACAGGAGGACGUAAGCCCACCUGAGGAAACGUCUGCACAGCGUAGAGACCUGCUCUGUAAGCAGUCGGGUGACCACACUGCACCAUUGCCCUCGAGGUAGAAAAGGUCAUUCUGGGAAACUGAGACUUUGCACAGCUGAAGGUGACCAGGACAGAGCUCCUCAGUGUCCCCAGAAAUGACAACUUCAGAUGUUCAGAUAAUGUCACCCCCAUCCAGAGUGCCCAAACACAAGCCAGGACCCAGCCAUUGCAGAACCAGAUGACAGUGCAGGGCCAGCACGGAUUGAAACCUCCCAGCAGGCACAUGGGCAAUGAAGACUGACUGAGCCCAUCCUGGGAAAGACAGACCACCAGGACAGACGUGCCAAAGCCACGCAAGCAUGGGAUGUUCCACCCUGUGACCGGACACUCUGAAGUAGGUCUGAUUAGUCGUAUACGGAGGAGGAGCACUCUUGUGGGAGGAGUGACAGGCAUGGUUAGCGGUGGGGAACAGAACAGCAUCUUCUAGAUGGCUGGAGGCAAGGACCCCUGUGUUCAGACUGACGGGCUCAAGCUCAGGAGUUUUGUGGGGUAGACUGAGGAAGAUUGUUGUUUUGGCUAAGAGGUUUGUUAGCUGUUAACACUGUGAAUAUAUUGACAGACAGACAGACAGACA
Rattus norvegicus (Norway rat) is the source of this 931-nucleotide long non-coding RNA. RefSeq lists it as uncharacterized. NCBI's taxonomy places the organism in Eukaryota, Metazoa, Chordata, Mammalia, Rodentia, Muridae. The record is from RefSeq and is a predicted model, not a curated record.